GCCCGCUUGGCUAAGCGGUAUAGCGUGUCACUAGUACUAACUUGACAUGACAAGGUGAUCAGUUCGACUCUGAUAGUGGGCA
RNAcentral lists this transfer RNA (82 nucleotides) under Trichoderma velutinum. Its description in RNAcentral is "tRNA-Thr". It matches the Rfam family "tRNA". From Rfam's summary of the family: Transfer RNA (tRNA) molecules are approximately 80 nucleotides in length. Lineage: Eukaryota; Fungi; Ascomycota; Sordariomycetes; Hypocreales; Hypocreaceae. RNAcentral also lists the same sequence under 5 other names. The record is from RNAcentral.